AAAAAUUAAAAAUGUAUUUGAAACUGAUUUUGAUGAAUUUCGGUGUUAAAAUGGCUUAAAAUGAAUUUUUAAGCGUUUUUAGCGUUUUUGAGUUUUCCGGCCAAAACCACCGGAAUACGGUGACCGGAGUUUGAGUAGAGGGGAUAGAGCAUGGUGGCUCAGUCCUAAACUCAUUUGGCAGCAGUUAGUGCCGAAAUGUUUUUGGCAGAAAAUAAGGGGGGGCCGAGCCCCGGGUCAAAAAUAUUUUACGGAAAAAUAUUUUUGGAUAUUUUUGAAUUGUGAUAUGUUUGUUGAUAUUUUCUAAAAGUGUAUUUUUAGAAAAUUAUGUGAAUUGAAUGUGUGUUAGAAUUAUAUGGAGUUAUAAUUCUAUGUUUAUUUAUUGAAAUAAAUAAACUACGUGGUGUAUCGUAUAGAAAUACGAUGACGCGGAAAUAGAUAGUCGGAAUCAAAUUUGGUUUGUGAUUAUGUGGUUAUAUGGUUGAGUCGGUCUAGAGUAUAUCCUAGAAUUUAGAGUUAUUACAUUUAUUAAUGUUUAAUCUCUAAAUUAGAUCCAGCGAGUUUUGUCGCGGAAACCGGCGAGCAAAGGUUUUGAAUAUUCGACGGGUGAUAUUUUUUAAUAUUUGGAAUAAGCGAGUACUGCGAGUAGUUUGACGUGUGGAUUUCCAAUUUCUUGUUCCGGAAAUCCCUAGCUUGAAUAAGUGAGAAUGACUUUCCUUUAUGUGUCUAGAGUUGCAGUAGCUAGAGUAAUGAACGGUGAUACCUUAGUAGUCGUUGGACUUAUUUAUGCUUUAUAUUUUAUAACGCUUAAACUCUGAUAUAAUAUGUAAUAUGUGAAUGCUGUGCGUAAGUCCGAGCGACUGCACUUGAAUAAAAUGCGAUGAACGCAUCUGCAUAGUGAAAUGCAGUUAAAUCCAUAAUGAAAUGGUCUGCAUAAUGAAAUGCGGUUAAGUCCAUUAGAGAAAUGGCCUGCAUAGUGAAAUGCAGUAAUUACCAUAGUAAGAUGGUAUGCAUAAUGAGAUGCAUGAUAAACCAUAGAGAAAUGGUUUUGAAACUAAAAUGCAAUAAUUAAAGAGAAAAAUUAUGUGCAUGUUUUAAAUGGUAA
Mercurialis annua (annual mercury) is the source of this 1102-nucleotide long non-coding RNA. RefSeq lists it as uncharacterized. The record is from RefSeq and is a predicted model, not a curated record. Lineage: Eukaryota; Viridiplantae; Streptophyta; Magnoliopsida; Malpighiales; Euphorbiaceae. The transcript is spliced from 2 exons.